CCUACGGGAGGCAGCAGUGGGGGAUAUUGCACAAUGGGGGAAACCCUGAUGCAGCGACGCCGCGUGAGUGAAGAAGUAUUUCGGUAUGUAAACCUCUAUCAGCAGGGAAGAAAGUGACCGUACCUGACCAGCAAUCCCCGGCUAACUACGUGUCAGCAGCCGCGGUAAUACGUAGGGGGCAAGCGUUAUCCGGAUUUACUGGGUGUAAAGGGAGCGUAGACGGUUAGGUAAGUCUGGAGUGAAAGCCCGGGGCCCAACCCCGGGACUGCGUUGGACACUGGGUAACUGGAGUACAGGAGGGGAUGGCGGAAUUCCAGGUGUAGGGGUGAAAUGCGUAGAGAUCAGGAGGAACACCAGCGGCGAAGGCGACCAGCUGGAAUGAAACUGACGUUGAGGCGCGAAAGCGUGGGGAGCAAACAGGAUUAGAUACCCUAGUAGUC
Molecule: ribosomal RNA, 440 nt
Filed under: uncultured bacterium
Lineage: Bacteria
Description: partial 16S ribosomal RNA
Rfam family: Bacterial small subunit ribosomal RNA
Source: RNAcentral